UCAACGUUUCAGUCCUGCAUAGAGGACUUUCAUCAGGAUCAAACAUCUGUGUUUUGUGUUUGAGCCUGCGUUGAACCAGUGUUUGAUCCUGAUGAAAGUCCUCUAUGCAGGACUGAAACG
Molecule: non-coding RNA, 120 nt
Organism: Pelobates cultripes (western spadefoot toad)
Lineage: Eukaryota; Metazoa; Chordata; Amphibia; Anura; Pelobatidae
Source: the annotation of a GenBank genome assembly